This 429-nucleotide ribosomal RNA is filed under the name Chloroflexota bacterium. RNAcentral describes it as "Chloroflexi bacterium partial 16S ribosomal RNA". It matches the Rfam family "Bacterial small subunit ribosomal RNA", at positions 355 to 776 of the family's 1533-position model. Lineage: Bacteria; Bacillati; Chloroflexota. The record is from RNAcentral.
UGGGGAAUAUUGCACAAUGGGCGCAAGCCUGAUGCAGCCAUGCCGCGUGUAUGAAGAAGGCCUUCGGGUUGUAAAGUACUUUCAGCGGGGAGGAAGGGAGUAAAGUUAAUACCUUUGCUCAUUGACGUUACCCGCAGAAGAAGCACCGGCUAACUCCGUGCCAGCAGCCGCGGUAAUACGGAGGGUGCAAGCGUUAAUCGGAAUUACUGGGCGUAAAGCGCACGCAGGCGGUUGAUUGAGUCAGAUGUGAAAUCCCCGGGCUUAACCCGGGAAUUGCAUCUGAUACUGGUCAGCUAGAGUCUUGUAGAGGGGGGUAGAAUUCCAUGUGUAGCGGUGAAAUGCGUAGAGAUGUGGAGGAAUACCGGUGGCGAAGGCGGACCCCUGGACAAAGACUGACGCUCAGGUGCGAAAGCGUGGGGAGCAAACAGG